AUUUACAUAGUUUAAAAAAAACAUUACAUUUUCAUUGUAAAAUUAAAGUAAAUUUUGUAAAUA
Molecule: transfer RNA, 63 nt
Filed under: Anomophysis sp. ASCT00116655
Lineage: Eukaryota; Metazoa; Arthropoda; Insecta; Coleoptera; Cerambycidae
Description: tRNA-Glu
Source: RNAcentral